This 492-nucleotide ribosomal RNA is filed under the name uncultured bacterium. RNAcentral describes it as "partial 16S ribosomal RNA". It matches the Rfam family "Bacterial small subunit ribosomal RNA", at positions 29 to 507 of the family's 1533-position model. The record is from RNAcentral.
AGUGAACGCUGGCGGUAGGCCUAACACAUGCAAGUCGAACGGCAGCACAGUAAGAGCUUGCUCUUACGGGUGGCGAGUGGCGGACGGGUGAGGAAUACAUCGGAAUCUACUUUUUCGUGGGGGAUAACGUAGGAAAACUUACGCUAAUACCGCAUACGACCUACGGGUGAAAGCAGGGGAUCUUCGGACCUUGCGCGAUUGAAUGAGCCGAUGUCGGAUUAGCUAGUUGGCGGGGUAAAGGCCCACCAAGGCGACGAUCCGUAGCUGGUCUGAGAGGAUGAUCAGCCACACUGGAACUGAGACACGGUCCAGACUCCUACGGGAGGCAGCAGUGGGGAAUAUUGGACAAUGGGCGCAAGCCUGAUCCAGCCAUACCGCGUGGGUGAAGAAGGCCUUCGGGUUGUAAAGUCCUUUUGUUGGGAAAGAAAAGCAGCAGGUUAAUACCCCGCUGUUCUGACGGUACCCAAAGAAUAAGCACCGGCUAACUUCGUG